CCCUUAGACGUUCUGGGCCGCACGCGCGCUACACUGACCAGUGCAACAAGCAUCCGUCCUUGGCCGACAGGCCCGGGCAAUCUUUGAACGCUGGUCGUGAUGGGGAUAGACUUUUGCAAUUUUUGGUCUUCAACGAGGAAUUCCUAGUAAACGCAAGCCAUCAACUUGCAUUGAUUACGUCCCUGCCCUUUGUACACACCGCCCGUCGCACCUACCGAUUGAAUGGUCCGGUGAAGCCUCCGGAUUGGCGCGCACCUCGGUGCCGCCGAGAAGUUGGCUAAACCUUACCAUUUAGAGGAAGGUGAANUCGUANCA
This 315-nucleotide ribosomal RNA is filed under the name uncultured eukaryote. RNAcentral's name for it is "partial 18S ribosomal RNA". It matches the Rfam family "Eukaryotic small subunit ribosomal RNA", at positions 1470 to 1796 of the family's 1831-position model. The record is from RNAcentral.